AUGGAGCAGCCCCAUCUGGGCCUAACACAUGGCCCAGACAGUUCGACAUGUCAAGGGAGGAGUGUGCUCCUGAGGGGUGUCUGUUUUUGUGUGUUUGUACCAGACAUCGAGGCCAUGAGUGCUGAGCCGAGAGUGAGCGGGAAAACCUGCACCUGUUACUGCUUCCAAGACAGUCCGGAGAGAGAGAUGGAGAAAAAGCUUUACAAUUCGCCCCGGAUGAUUUUCUUCUUUCUAGCUCUCCUCACGCUCGGCGUGCCCGUGGCUUGGCUCUCCCCCUCUGUGGCGGUGCGCGGAUGUCCUGCAGGUCGCAAACCUUUCCUGCGUUGCCUGGCUUGAGUGCAUCGAUCUCUUGGUCAAGUGGUACGUGGUCCUGCUGUUUCCACGGGACUCGGCGCUCUCUCCUCUCCGCCACUCACUCUGCCUCACACAGCUGCAGAGGGAAAUAUGAGGACAGGCAACGUGGUUGAGUGGUGUUCCUCUCUCUCUCUCUCUCUCUCUCUCUCUCUCUCUCUCUCUCUCUCUCUCUCAGGUUGUCAGCUGGUGCGAUGCUAUCUCUUCCCUCUUUUAUGUUCAGCUGAACUGCAUGCUACCUCACCAUGCCAGUUUUGCUGCCUUUCCACUGAUUUCUCUGGCUUUCUUUCGCCCCCUACCUCAUUACUGAAUCUAUGUAUCCGUGUCUUUGCUAGUGCAGCCUCUAGUGGCAGGCUUCUCUCCAUGCUGCUCACAGAGCUCGCGGAUUUUCUUCACAUAGAAUUAUGAAGGUGUGCAUCAACGCCGCCUAAGAUACAUUUAUUAUCAUUUCUGCAUCUGUGCUACCCAUUUGAAAAAAUGUCUGCAUGUUGGUGGCAUUUUCAUUUCCCACAAUUCCCCGCGGCUUUCACACCAAGUUACAAAUUAAGAAAAGUAUCAAAUCUGAAACAAUUUGAGAGGAAAAGAAAGGUUGUUAACUUUUAGAACGGUAAAAUAUAUAAAGUAUAUUUUUACAAUACCCAAAACAUUCAACCUAUAUUAAUUUACCACCAGAUGUUAUUUUUUAAUGAGCAGUCCCAUUUGUUCUAUUCAUGAUUGUUAUUUCGACCGUACUUAAUGACUCCUUACUGUCUAUUGUAAUAUUGACAGUGACUACUUUUACUGGUGAAGGAGCCAUUUGGGCAGAACAAUUUUAUCUAUAAAACAAACCUAGGCAAUAAUGCUAAUAAGAUUUAAUCUGUAAAACCAAUAAUGAUUACUUGUAUAAGAAAAUUAAGCUAAUAUAUGACAGAAUGCAGUAAAUUGAAGCGGACUGCUAGCUGUUAGCUGAUGAGCUAACACUUCUCCAGCUUGCUAAAGUUCAUAUCAGUUUAGAAGGACACAUUACUGAGUUUGACAUAACAUUACAGCUGGUUUCACAACUGGCUUCGGAAAGAUUAUAACAUCGCAAUGUGGAUUAGAAACAGUCUAAACAAGACAGAAUAAUAAGAGCGUCUAGCUAACAGCUUACCGUUACAGACAUGACGACGAUUCAGACACCAACUUCAAUCAACAAGGAAAACUGCGAGGAAACGUCUCAGGAGAUUUUCGGAUAAAAAAAUAAAUGCAGAAGUACUGGAUACUGCA
This 1596-nucleotide long non-coding RNA is filed under the name Betta splendens (Siamese fighting fish). RNAcentral describes it as "lncRNA (ENSBSLG00000012811.1)". The record is from RNAcentral. Lineage: Eukaryota; Metazoa; Chordata; Actinopteri; Anabantiformes; Osphronemidae.